CUUGCAAGACCACCGCUGUUGUGGCAUCCAUGUUGAUAUUGAUGCUCCUUGUGUCUUUCGGUAAGUAGGAUAAUAUAGUAUUUCAUACGUAUGUAGUUUUUGGCAUGCAUGAUGUGGAGAGAGCAUCGUCACAAGGAGACAAUUUUACUCCUCACAACAAUCUCCAACUACUAAUUAUUGGGAUGGAUAUUGAACAUUUCCUAUCUUCUACAAUUAACGCCAAGGCUAAGUAGUAAACUCUUCCAAUCUUCUAAGACUAAUGUCAAGGAUAGGAACCCAAUAUUUUAAAUCUUUAACAAUUAGUGCCACAAAAGGCUUGAUACUGAACUCAACUUUAUUGUCGGGUGACCUUAGUUUGACGAUAUAGAUGAAGACUCUCAUAAGUGUGCACCUUCCAAUAUAAAGACAUGCCAAGAUUAGGUCACACCCCAUCCAAGUGUUCUCAAUGGCUUGCAAGACCCCCAUCGUUGUGGCAUCCAUGUUGAUAUUGAUGCUCCUUGUGUCUUUUGGUAAGUAGGAGAAUAUACCAUUUCAUACAUAUGUAGGGAGUUUAUGUUUUUCCAUCACGUAUUAAACCUUUAUUUCUAUAAGGAUGUAGGGAUUUUGCAUCGUAACAAAAUUUCUUUCAUUUAUGUAGACGAGGUUCAAGGGAAGUGUCGCGAGGAACGCAUCAAGCUCUCCUGUGAUAAUUGGGUCAAAUGUUUUGAGUGGUGUCGUCUCUUUGGUGGUACGAAAGGGUACUGUGAUAAAGGUUCAUGUGUGUGUGUGAAUUGCUUUGUGCAAUCAUCUGGCCACCAUUCUACAGAGGUUCCACCACCGAAUUCUGCCCAUCUUGAGUAGUUCAUUGUAAUUGUCGAAUUAUUGGUAAUUGGUUGUCCUAUAAAUAACUAAGUGCAUUGGUUAUGAUAUUCUUUUUAUGUAAUUUUCUAAUAUGACAUAGUAAGUUUUCCAAUGGAAAGGUACAAUAAUAUGUUUUCAGGGUCAUCGGAAAGUCCGGAUCUAUUUAUGGAAACUUUUCAGGGUCAUCGGAAUGGGUUCCAGAGACAUACGGAAAAUUCAAGAUUUUAUUUGUAGAAGAAAAGUGCGAAGAACCAUCAUGAGAUGACGAUCCCUAGUGGGCCCACGAGGGCCCACAAGGGGCGCAAUGGGCUUUGGUAGGCCCUAGGCCGAAUUGGAAGGGGAUGAAAUCCUUCCCUCUUCCAAGGAUUUCCCCUCUUUACCCUCCUCCUUCUCCUACUUAUAUAUAUGGGGGGAGGCCUCCCUCUUGAGACAAAUAAAAUUAAAGGGUGCUACUUCUUGAGCUUGCGUUGUUUUUUCCCAUGAAGAGGAAAGGGUGAUGCAACAAAGUAGAGAUAAG
This 1357-nucleotide long non-coding RNA is filed under the name Triticum aestivum (bread wheat). Its description in RNAcentral is "long non-coding RNA (TAES_LNC009001)". The record is from RNAcentral. Lineage: Eukaryota; Viridiplantae; Streptophyta; Magnoliopsida; Poales; Poaceae.